This is a long non-coding RNA of Cyprinus carpio (common carp), 1100 nucleotides long. RefSeq lists it as uncharacterized. The record is from RefSeq and is a predicted model, not a curated record. Lineage: Eukaryota; Metazoa; Chordata; Actinopteri; Cypriniformes; Cyprinidae.
UUGCAUAGUCCAUUUUAAUGAAAUAUAUUUCUUUGAAAAAAUUAUAAAUGUACCUAAGAGCACAAAAUAGGGUCUUGAGAUAGUCUGUGUGGAGUCCAGGAUGUUGGAUGUGAGGGGCAGGGCCAAAAAUAUGUUAAAUAUUGACAAGGAGUAUAAUUAUUAACUAAGCUUCAACUCCAAAUCACUUUUAAACUGGCCUCUCUCGGCCUGACAUAGCACUGCUGACUGACGCUCCCCUCUGACCUGCUCGCUCUCUUUGCUGUCACUAACUUUGCUGUUUUCAGUUCCUUUUUAAUUUUUUUAUAGCCAUAUUUUGCUUCGCUUCCCUUAAUUCUUUAAUCUCUAUAUUUAGAAAAAAGUUUCUUUUGUUUGCAUACAUUCUCAUUUUUUUCUGAUACAUCUAGCUCCAAAAACCUGGACUCCCAUGAGGAAGAACUGUGAAUGUGGCACCACUUCCUCUUUUCUUGCUUUUUGGCAUCUUCUUAUUUUUGUUUUGUUUAUUUAUUUAUUUAUUUUUAGAAAACUUGAAGAACUACCCUGUAUAGUGAGAAUGGGACACUGACUCUGUAACAUUUGUGAGGGAUUAUGUGCACUUCCUUCCGCUGUCUAAAGGGGACGCUUUCCAAAUAUUUGGUGCUGACUGGUUGUAACAGCAACUCCAUGUGGAAGGUUUCUUAUGUCUUCCAGUGGAGCUGCUGUUGCGUGCAGAUAGUCACCCUUAUCUACUUUGGUUCUGCAUGAAGAUACAGUCCUAAUUAAUUAUCUGUAAUUAUUAAUUAUGUGGCUGUAAAUGUAUUUGCAUGUUGUCAGAAAGCAUGUUUAACCCAGUGUCUAGGACACAGGGUGAUGACCUAUGAAUUGACAGCCAGUGUUUGCAGUCCAGCUGCCUGUCAGUUCUGUAGGCCACUGUCCUGUUUAUCCUACUAAACACACACUGAUUUGCACAGAGAAUGCAUGGUUUUGUAUAAAUGUUGGACUAUAAUUUUCUGGGAACAUUUAUGUUAAGGCUAUAUUACAACAUGAUUUAUUUGAUAUUAUGUUAAUUUGUUUUAUUUUACUGCAUAUAAUUUCAUUUGAACAUUAAAUUAUUUCAAAAUCAA